This 85-nucleotide transfer RNA is filed under the name Kangiellaceae bacterium. RNAcentral describes it as "tRNA-Leu". It matches the Rfam family "tRNA". From Rfam's summary of the family: Transfer RNA (tRNA) molecules are approximately 80 nucleotides in length. Lineage: Bacteria; Pseudomonadati; Pseudomonadota; Gammaproteobacteria; Kangiellales; Kangiellaceae. The record is from RNAcentral.
GCCCAGGUGGCGGAAUUGGUAGACGCGCUAGUUUCAGGUAUUAGUGACUUCGGUCGUGGAGGUUCAAGUCCUCUCCUGGGCACCA